Molecule: ribosomal RNA, 884 nt
Filed under: Triticum aestivum (bread wheat)
Lineage: Eukaryota; Viridiplantae; Streptophyta; Magnoliopsida; Poales; Poaceae
Description: partial small subunit ribosomal RNA
Source: RNAcentral
GUGCCGAAACCGUGCCGCCGAGAGAAGGGGAUGGAGAGCAGGAGGAGGAAGACAAGAAGGACUAGGGGUUUGGAACAUAGAGGUAACCACAACGAACAUUAGUUUCGAACAUAGGUUAUCUAUAACUCUCUCUCUAGACCAAGGAAUGUGGCACGUUUGUAGUCUCUCCAGCUCGCGCUCGUCGUCGCCUACCUCACCCGGUUCGCGCUCGUCGUCGUCUGCUUCCAGCGCCCAGUCCCCAUACCCCCUCCUCCAGGGAGCGCAAGAACGAGGCCGCCUUCGGGCGCCGGGUACCUAAGGCCGCCCUUUAACUGGUGUACGCGCCACCCUCCACCACCACCUCACCGCCUACUGCUCCGAGCGGCGGCUCGAUCUGUCAUACCGCGACACGAGUCGCCUCCGACGGCACGCGCCCGUGCCGCCCCCACACCGCCGCGCCGCCCACGUCGUCCAGCAUCACCGGUUCCACUCGGCUGACGAGCACCCCAGGCAACCACACGCCACACGGGACAAAGGCGACAGUUACGCGAGCAGGCGAGACUGCCUGAACUCGAAGAGGACGUUGAGGUAUUCGAGCACCGCGCAGGAGCUGGACCGUCGGCCGCCUAUACCUCAGGGACAUACGUUCAUAUACGUCCCCCCACUUAAUGUAACACAUCAACGAGUCUGUAGGUUCCGUUUAGUAUUAAAACCUACGUAUAAAACAAGACGUUAUCACGAAAAAACGACUUCUAGAAUGUGUUCAGACUUAUUAUGUGAAAAACAACAUGUUCCAUAUAUUGACUUAAAGGGCGCACAAUAUAUUCGCACACCAACUGAUGUAUUCACGUACUAGGGGCAUCACAAUUAAAUCCACGUCUACUACCGUCUAAGCUCAGAUUUUG